This 289-nucleotide ribosomal RNA is filed under the name uncultured bacterium. RNAcentral's name for it is "partial 16S ribosomal RNA". It matches the Rfam family "Bacterial small subunit ribosomal RNA", at positions 773 to 1060 of the family's 1533-position model. The record is from RNAcentral.
GUGGAUUAGAUACCCUAGUAGUCCACGCCGUAAACGAUGUCAACUAGCUGUUGGUUAUAUGAAUAUAAUUAGUGGCGCAGCAAACGCGAUAAGUUGACCGCCUGGGGAGUACGGUCGCAAGAUUAAAACUCAAAGGAAUUGACGGGGGCCCGCACAAGCGGUGGAGCAUGUGGUUUAAUUCGAUGCAACGCGAAGAACCUUACCUACCCUUGACAUACAGUGAAUUUUGCAGAGAUGCAUUAGUGCCUUCGGGAACACUGAUACAGGUGCUGCACGGUCGUCGACAGCU